CCUACGGGAGGCUGCAGUGGGGAAUAUUGCACAAUGGGCGCAAGCCUGAUGCAGCCAUGCCGCGUGUGUGAAGAAGGCCUUCGGGUUGUAAAGCACUUUCAGCGGGGAGGAAGGCGUUAAGGUUAAUAACCUUGUCGAUUGACGUUACCCGCAGAAGAAGCACCGGCUAACUCCGUGCCAGCAGCCGCGGUAAUACGGAGGGUGCAAGCGUUAAUCGGAAUUACUGGGCGUAAAGCGCACGCAGGCGGUCUGUCAAGUCGGAUGUGAAAUCCCCGGGCUCAACCUGGGAACUGCAUUCGAAACUGGCAGGCUAGAGUCUUGUAGAGGGGGGUAGAAUUCCAGGUGUAGCGGUGAAAUGCGUAGAGAUCUGGAGGAAUACCGGUGGCGAAGGCGGCCCCCUGGACAAAGACUGACGCUCAGGUGCGAAAGCGUGGGGAGCAAACAGGAGUAGAUACCCUAGUAGUC
This 465-nucleotide ribosomal RNA is filed under the name uncultured Klebsiella sp. RNAcentral describes it as "bacterial SSU rRNA". It matches the Rfam family "Bacterial small subunit ribosomal RNA", at positions 338 to 795 of the family's 1533-position model. The record is from RNAcentral. Lineage: Bacteria; Pseudomonadati; Pseudomonadota; Gammaproteobacteria; Enterobacterales; Enterobacteriaceae.